UAGCGAGCUAACGCUACGAAAAUAUGCCCUCCUUAGUGAAUCUGUUGCAACUGCUUGCAUUUUUAGAAUGAUUUCGUAGGCUACUUUUUGUAGAAUUGAGGACAUUUUGUUUGAUUUCAUUUCAUGAUAUAACUUUAUAAGGUUCCAGGGAUCCAGAUAGGGGUGUUUUCUGUCGGCUUUGAAACAAACCAUCGGAAAUGAUCCUGUCCCGCGUGAAGCCGGCUGUGGGAGCAGAGACUGAGGGGAGCAUCGGUGAGAAGAAGAAGAAACAAACGGUUCCCAGUUUGGAGGAAUAUCUCCAGCAGAGGGACUACCUGGGAGGCUUAACAUUACUGGAGGAGUAUAAAUCUCUGACCCGG
Molecule: long non-coding RNA, 359 nt
Organism: Cyprinodon variegatus (sheepshead minnow)
Lineage: Eukaryota; Metazoa; Chordata; Actinopteri; Cyprinodontiformes; Cyprinodontidae
Exons: 3
Source: RefSeq, a predicted model, not a curated record